Molecule: transfer RNA, 72 nt
Filed under: Heterocephalus glaber (naked mole-rat)
Lineage: Eukaryota; Metazoa; Chordata; Mammalia; Rodentia; Bathyergidae
Rfam family: tRNA
About the family: Transfer RNA (tRNA) molecules are approximately 80 nucleotides in length. Their secondary structure includes four short double-helical elements and three loops (D, anti-codon, and T loops). Further hydrogen bonds mediate the characteristic L-shaped molecular structure. tRNAs have two regions of fundamental functional importance: the anti-codon, which is responsible for specific mRNA codon recognition, and the 3' end, to which the tRNAs corresponding amino acid is attached (by aminoacyl-tRNA synthetases). tRNAs cope with the degeneracy of the genetic code in two manners: having more than one tRNA (with a specific anti-codon) for a particular amino acid; and 'wobble' base-pairing, i.e. permitting non-standard base-pairing at the 3rd anti-codon position.
Source: Rfam by way of RNAcentral
CUGGGUGCAGCUCAGUGGCAGAGCAUUUGUCUGGCAUACACAAGGCCCUGGGUUUGAUGCCCACCACUUAAG